CAAGAACUUCCCCUGGAGCUGGAACAGCGCUGUGGGCAGGCAAAACCGUCCCUGGCUGAGCCCAGAGCACCUGCCUGGCUUCCUCCCAGCCCUUGGAUGUGCCUCCUAGUUCCAGCGCCACUUCCCACCUCCUCAGGGAGCUGGGCCUCUGGCGUCUGACUGUGACUAGUGGUCCUGUUCUACUUUUUUCUUCUUCAUUUUCUGUCGACAUCUGAGCUGUCACACUCACCCCCUGCUUCUAGGGCACCUUCUCUCAUCUCCUAUUCUUAUCCCAAAGUAAUAUUUUUUUCCUCUGUGUCCUCUAAUAUGUGACUGGGGUCAACCUCGCAGCGUGAUCGCUUUCUGCCCUGCAUGACAGUCAUCUAGGCACUGGACCGGCCUCCCGCGCUGGACCGUAGCUCGUGGAGGGUGAGGCCUUGCCCAUUUGCACGUUCUUCAAGUGCAGACGCUGUGCCCGGGCCCCAUGCCCACGUGGAACAGGCUAAAUGCACUUCCAAAUUCAAAGUUGAUUAGACACGCUACAUGUUAACGCCUGAUUUAAUUGCGGAUGUGCAGACACGCAGAGGCAGCCAGCCUCCCCCCAGCUCUCCUUGGCAGAAUCCAGCCUGAGCACAGCUGUCAGGACAGCUGGCCUCCGUCCCACAGGGCCAAGCACAUGGCUUCCCACAGUGUCUGUUCCCAUCUCAGGGCCAGUGGGAUUCUGUCUUGAUCUCCAGGACUUUCCCUACAGAGCCUCCUGGCCUCUUGCAGCCCGGGAGCCUGGAGUUAGCUCCUGCCCAGCACAAGGUGGCUAAGCGUGGUUGGGAUCCCCAACCCUGAAGGUGGGGCCAUGUGGGGUUCCUGUGAAUGGCCUGCUAUCAGAAGCCUCCACCCUCAGAUCACGUGCGGGGCCUCUGGUGUGAAUGUGCCGAGGCAGGAGCCCAGGUACCCUGGCACAGAAGAGCCAUCACUUCAUCUGUCCCUGUGCCUGCGGCCACCCUGCUCACACUACACGUGCCCCUCACCCUCGGUGGGCGGCUCC
This is a long non-coding RNA of Bos taurus (domestic cattle), 1021 nucleotides long. Lineage: Eukaryota; Metazoa; Chordata; Mammalia; Artiodactyla; Bovidae. The record is from Ensembl.